Molecule: long non-coding RNA, 928 nt
Organism: Clupea harengus (Atlantic herring)
Lineage: Eukaryota; Metazoa; Chordata; Actinopteri; Clupeiformes; Clupeidae
Source: Ensembl
GCCAUGCACACUGUAUAUAUAUAUAUUAUUAUUAUUAUAUCUUUAUAUGUAUAUUGUGUGUGUAUGAGUCGGCAAUGUACUUUCCUAUCUCAGUCACAACAUUUGGAACAUAUAGUGCUAUGUUUAAAUGCAAAAUUCGGUGUACUGUUGUUUAAUUAUUGCUGAGUUUGUCCUAUGUGUAAACCAUUUGAGAGCAGUUAAUACAUCAGCUAAACUGUGGCUCAGCUAAAAGGUGUGUUUUGCAUUUGUACUCAGUGGCCUACCUGUAGCAGAAAGAUGAUAUAUCAUUUGAAAUAAAUACCUCACGGAUGUCAGUAUUUGUGUUUGUCAUUGAUCCAUACACCCUUCUCUUCAUUUUAAUAAACAUGUUUACUCAGAUGACAUACGCCUUGUCCAAAAUGGCUAUAAAAGAAGCUGUCGCUUCUCAUUGUCAUCAGUUUCCAGAAGCUGCAAAUCAAUUUCUUAUCAGUAGAUAUACCCAGUUUAACAAUGGGGAUUCUGCCCAUUCUCUCGAUCCUUUACGCUCUGUUUGCCAUGAACAUGGCAACAGAUGCGGUGGCCCCAGCUCAGCCUAACACUCUAGAGUUGUCGAAGAAGAUGGACGUCACUCUUAACGAUGCCUUGGCCAAAAGUGAGGAUAUUGCCUCUGACAAUCCAGGUGAGAUCCUCUGAAACUGGGGUUCACAUCAUGCCCCUAUUUUACAAUAUGUUGUAGUGAUACUAUGCUGUGUACCACUUUUCAGUGAUGUGGGUUUUGUAGUUUUGAAGUGAUGUGGGUGACUGACUCUUGUCUGUGUGUUACUAGUGGAGAAGCAGGAGGAGGAAGUGGCUGAUGCCCUGGGAGAUGAUGAGGAUGAUGAGGAUGCUGCUGCUGACACUCCAGGUGGGUUCUUCUGAAACCAGUUGCAUCUUUGACCGUAUUCACUAG